GAAAUGCGAUAAGUAGUGUGAAUUGCAGAAUUCAGUGAAUCAUCGAAUCUUUGAACGCACAUUGCGCCCCUUGGUAUUCCAUGGGGCAUGCCUGUUUGAGCGUCAUUUGUACCCUCAAGCUCUGCUUGGUGUUGGGUGUUUGUCCCCGUCUCCGCGCGUGGACUCGCCCCAAAGUGAUUGGCAGCCGGCGUACUGGUCCCGGAGCGCAGCACAUGUCGCGCAAACGAGUGCCUUGGUACGGCGGCGUCCAUAAGCCCCUCUCUCACGCUCUUGACCUCGGAUCAGGUAGGGAUACCCGCUGAACUUAAGC
RNAcentral lists this unclassified non-coding RNA (310 nucleotides) under plant metagenome. Its description in RNAcentral is "partial contains 5.8S ribosomal RNA, internal transcribed spacer 2, and large subunit ribosomal RNA". The stretch from base 1 to 105 matches the Rfam family "5.8S ribosomal RNA", at positions 50 to 154 of the family's 154-position model. The record is from RNAcentral.